This is a long non-coding RNA of Harpegnathos saltator (Jerdon's jumping ant), 216 nucleotides long. RefSeq lists it as uncharacterized. The transcript is spliced from 3 exons. The record is from RefSeq and is a predicted model, not a curated record. Lineage: Eukaryota; Metazoa; Arthropoda; Insecta; Hymenoptera; Formicidae.
UAUGUACAAUAAUUAUAAAAGUUAAGUUGUAUACUGCGCUACACUAAUACAAGUUGAAUAACUAUUUUUACUUUUGGAUCCGGUUUCCAUGAGUCAAAAUAUAUAUGAUACGUGUGAUAAGAAAGUCGCAUAUAACUGCAACAGAUGAACAAAUUUCUGCUCCCAUCAAGAUCUGGCUGGCUCAUGCAAAGGAACGUGCAAAAAAAACAAAAAAUA